GAUUAGUGGCGAACGGGUGAGUAACACGUGGGCAAUCUGCCCUUCACUCUGGGACAAGCCCUGGAAACGGGGUCUAAUACCGGAUAACACCGGCUUCCGCAUGGGAGCUGGUUGAAAGCUCCGGCGGUGAAGGAUGAGCCCGCGGCCUAUCAGCUUGUUGGUGGGGUAAUGGCCUACCAAGGCGACGACGGGUAGCCGGCCUGAGAGGGCGACCGGCCACACUGGGACUGAGACACGGCCCAGACUCCUACGGGAGGCAGCAGUGGGGAAUAUUGCACAAUGGGCGAAAGCCUGAUGCAGCGACGCCGCGUGAGGGAUGACGGCCUUCGGGUUGUAAACCUCUUUCAGCAGGGAAGAAGCGAAAGUGACGGUACCUGCAGAAGAAGCGCCGGCUAACUACGUGCCAGCAGCCGCGGUAAUACGUAGGGCGCAAGCGUUGUCCGGAAUUAUUGGGCGUAAAGAGCUCGUAGGCGGCUUGUCACGUCGGGUGUGAAAGCCCGGGGCUUAACCCCGGGUCUGCAUCCGAUACGGGCAGGCUAGAGUGUGGUAGGGGAGAUCGGAAUUCCUGGUGUAGCGGUGAAAUGCGCAGAUAUCAGGAGGAACACCGGUGGCGAAGGCGGAUCUCUGGGCCAUUACUGACGCUGAGGAGCGAAAGCGUGGGGAGCGAACAGGAUUAGAUACCCUGGUAGUCCACGCCGUAAACGUUGGGAACUAGGUGUUGGCGACAUU
Molecule: ribosomal RNA, 729 nt
Filed under: Actinomycetes bacterium
Lineage: Bacteria; Bacillati; Actinomycetota; Actinomycetes
Description: bacterial SSU rRNA
Rfam family: Bacterial small subunit ribosomal RNA
Source: RNAcentral